This is a long non-coding RNA of Cryptomeria japonica (Japanese cedar), 598 nucleotides long. RefSeq lists it as uncharacterized. The transcript has 2 exons. The record is from RefSeq and is a predicted model, not a curated record. Lineage: Eukaryota; Viridiplantae; Streptophyta; Pinopsida; Cupressales; Cupressaceae.
CGAAACCAGGGUUUUUUGGCUCUACCAUUCUAUUUCCUGCUUUAAAUAUCGGUCUUGGUAGAGCAGGAACAGAGUAAGUUUUUCCCAGUUAGUCUGAAUCGAUUAAGAGAUUAUCAUUUGAGUGAAAAGUGAGUAAGAAGAGAUGAUGGAGAUGAGGAAAUGGGUAUCUGAGAACAAACUCACCUCAGUAGGGGCACUGUGGAGUUCAACAUUAGGGGUUUCCCUUGCUUAUAACUUCUCAAAGCCCGCCAUGAAAACCAGUCUCAAGCUUAUACACGCCAGGAUACACGCACAGGGUAUUACUCUGGCAGCACUCUCUGCAGCUGCUCUUCUUCAUCUGCAUGAACAGAAUGCCCAGCAGAAGCUUAAGCAAAAUCAUGGCAUUGCUUAGCCCCCACAAAUCUCAAAUUCAUAUGAUAUUAAUUCAUUGUAGAUCUGGUUCUGUUUGCUAUGUAGUCUAAUGUUUCAGAGCUUUUUCAUUUACUUCUUAUGUAAUCAGAUUGAAAAUGUUACAGAAAUAAGAUGUUGGAAGUACUGUAAUGUAAUUCGGCCGAUUUCCUCUAAAUUUAAUUCUCUGGAGAGUUCUACUGCUCUGUUA